AUACGUAGGUGGCAAGCGUUGUCCGGAAUUACUGGGUGUAAAGGGAGCGCAGGCGGGCGUGCAAGGCAGCUGUGAAAUCCAUGGGCUUAACCCGUGGGCUGCAGUUGAAACUGUAUGUCUUGAGUGAAGUAGAGGUAGGGGGAAUUCCGAGGGUAGCGGUAAAAUGCGUAGAUAUUCGGAGGAACACCGGUGGCGAAGGCGGCCUACUGGGCUUUAACUGACGCUGAGGCUCGAAAGUGUGGGGAGCAAACAGGAUUAGAUACCCUGGUAGUCCACACUGUAAACGAUGAUUGCUAGGUGUGGGGGGUCUGACCCCUUCCGUGCCGCAGUUAACGCAAUAAGCAAUCCACCUGGGGAGUACGGCCGCAAGGCUAAAACUCAAAUGAAUUGGCGGGG
RNAcentral lists this ribosomal RNA (396 nucleotides) under uncultured bacterium. RNAcentral describes it as "partial 16S ribosomal RNA". It matches the Rfam family "Bacterial small subunit ribosomal RNA", at positions 523 to 918 of the family's 1533-position model. The record is from RNAcentral.